CAGCGGGUGCAUCUGCCUU
RNAcentral lists this non-coding RNA (19 nucleotides) under Arabidopsis thaliana (thale cress). Lineage: Eukaryota; Viridiplantae; Streptophyta; Magnoliopsida; Brassicales; Brassicaceae. The record is from RNAcentral.